Molecule: non-coding RNA, 650 nt
Organism: Pelobates cultripes (western spadefoot toad)
Lineage: Eukaryota; Metazoa; Chordata; Amphibia; Anura; Pelobatidae
Source: the annotation of a GenBank genome assembly
GGGGGGUACCACGAGAAGGCUGGGGUUGGAGGGGUGGGAACGGGGGGCUGGGUCAGGGCGGUAAGGGCAGAGAUUAGGGACGGCAAAUCAGCCGAGGGAGGAGGAGGCAACGAGGUAGAGGGGGCCGGGACUUCGGGAGGAGGAGGUAACACUGGAGAAGGGGUUGGAGGGGUGAUAACGGGGGGGUUGGGUCAGGGCGGUGAGGGCAGAAAUCAGGGACGGCAAAUCGGCCGAGGGAGGAGGAGGAGGCAACGAGGUAAAGGGGACCGGGAUAUCGGGAGGGGGGUACCACUGGAGAAGGGGUUGGAGGGGUGGGAACGGGGGGCUGGGUCAGGGCAGUGAGGGCAGAGAUUAGGGACGGCAAAUCAGUCGGGAGGGGAGGGGACAACGAGGUAGAAGGGAGGUCCGGAGGCAUAAGGGAAGCGGGAUCAGCGGGAGGACAAGGGUCUGGAGGAUCUGGGGCGGGGGGGUGAGUAAGGUCGAGAGGGCAGAGAGCGGGGCAGCGGAUGGAGACGGGUGAGUGGGUAACACUGGGGAGGGGUCAGUCGAGGUGGAGAGGGGACGAGAGGCAAGCAUAGGUAAAGGUGGCGGGGGACAGGGAGGCGGAGGAAUGUCAUUUAACGUAAAGGAUGUUACUGUAAACAUACGAU